AUUCCCCUACCCUCUUGGCCGCCCCCUCCCAUCUCCUCCUUUCUCAAGCACUUGCAGCCACACAUCAAACCCUAGCCCCCCCCAUCUCCUCCUCCCAUGGUGCCAUUCGUUGCCGCUCGGAUCUCCGUCGCGUGGUGCAAAUCUUCAACGGUUUUCGGUGGAGGGAGGAAGGGAGGAAGAAAAGGGGGAGAACUCAAGGUGAUUUUUGUGUUUAUCUCUUGUUCAUUUUAUGCGGCAAUCCAAUUGUUUAGAUGUUGCGUGUGCGAUUUGGUAGAAGGGCUGUCCAGAAUUUUAAGGGGGUGGACGAACAACAGCAGAAUUAGUGAUUUCUGGGCAUUUUUCGUGGAGAAUUAAGGAGAAUCAGUUUGGGAAUCAUGUAGAACUUUGGCAUACCUUUCCAACGAGUAUUUAUGCGCUCAAUUUGGAGUUAUAAAUUAAAAGUUAUCACCGUUUGAAACCGGGUAGGUGGCUGUCCAAAAAAACAGAUUUUCAAGGGGAUGAACAGCAGCAGUAUUAGCAGUUUCUGGGGAUUUUUCGGGAGUAAUUAGUGUUAAUCAGUAUGAGAAUCAUGUAGGGCUUUAUGUUAUCUUUCCAACAAGUACUUAUGCGCUCGAUUCGGAGUUAUAAUUUAGGAGAUAUCGUAGUUUGAAUCCGGUUAUGUUGCUGUCCAAAAAACAGAUUUUUCAGGUGGGUGAACAGCAGUGGUAUAAAGCAGUUUCUGGGACUUUUUCGUGGGUAAUUAGUGUUAACCAGUAUGAUAAUCAUGUAGAGAUUUGUCUUAUCUUUCCAAUGAGUACUUAUGCGCUUGAUUUGGAAUUAUAUUUUAAAAGAUAUCGCUGUUUGAAUCCGGGUAUGUCGCUGUCCAAAAGACAAAGAAAAACAGAUUACAGGGUUCAUCUUGUGGACUGUUUUGGGCUAAUUAGAUAUUGGAAUUUAAUUAUAAAUUGUAUACAAAACUUGUGGGGAAUUUUAUGUAGAUGCCUCUGGAGUUUUUGUUUGUUACCACUGCUGUCAUAAUUUUGAAGUUAUGAAAUUAUUAAGCAGCGCCGCUGCAAUUUGGUGGGUGUAGGGAGAGAUGUAACCCGCGGCGGGGUUUGAGUUUGUGCGUAGGUGCGGCGUCGCUUAUGAGCCUGAUUAUGUGAAAUUGGUGCACUAAGUUGGGUGUCAAAAACAGGUGGUGGACUUCCGGAUCGUACUUAGGGAUUUGCCCGAACUUCCGGUAAAGGCAAGUAAAUACAGUGGUGGUUGCUACCGUUUGGUUUGCAUCCUAUUCCCUGUCAUUGAGUAUGCAUAAGUUUUAAUUAUGUUGAUCAUUGAAUUCUAUGAUGAAGUUUAUUUGUUUGGAAGUAUUAAUUCUCAAUUGUCUAAUAUUGUGGAUGAUCAUAAUUUGGUAAUGAUAUAUGUGGUUGAUUCCCAUCUUGGAUGAAGUUGAAGUAUCUUUUUGAAUCAUGUUAUAUGAAGUGUUGUAGGCAUGACAUGCACAUCGCAUCAUCCAUCUUGCAUUUUGAAGUUAUGUCGUGAUCUUAUGGUCCGACCGUACCGGUACAUUUUUAGCAUCGUACGUUGCCCGAGGAGGGGUACGAUGCGGCUUCAUAUCCUUAGUGGUAUGAAGGCAGAAGUCAUCCUUGCAUUUGCAGACAUUUGCACUCAUGAGGAAUAUAUUAAGUGUGACAUUACUAUGUUACUAUUGGGGUUUCUACCUGCGAGGUGUGGUAACUAGGUGUGUUGUACGUUGUAUACGUGCUGCACCUUCGUAAUAAGAAGGUUGUGGAAUCAAGUGGUGGUAAAACAAUGUUCUUAUGUGGUUAAACUGUUUGAUAUUAUUUUACUUGCUGAGAUGUGUCAUCUCACUCUUGCAUUACUCAAUGCAGGUACUUGAUACAUGUUGGGAAUGAGGGGAGUAGCAGCAUGUCCACUUUUACUCUCACAAUAACGCUGCCUAGGCGCAGCCAUGAUUUAAUUAGAAACUUAUUGUCAAAGAAAGUUUGUUUUCUUUAUAUGGUCGUGAGCACUGGUUAAUUCAGUUCAGGUCGUAUGUUUAUCUUUCCUUGCUAGCUGAU
RNAcentral lists this long non-coding RNA (2060 nucleotides) under Zea mays. Its description in RNAcentral is "long non-coding RNA (ZMAY_LNC001789)". Lineage: Eukaryota; Viridiplantae; Streptophyta; Magnoliopsida; Poales; Poaceae. The record is from RNAcentral.